GACGAACGGUAAGAAUUGUAGCAAUAUGAUUCCAAGAGUGUCGUACGGGUGCGUAACACGUAUGCAACCUACCUUGUACAGGAGUAUAGCUCGGGGAAACUCGAAUUAACCCUCCAUAAUAUAGUGGUGUGGCAUCACAUUACUAUUAAAACUACGGUGGUACAAGAUGGGCAUGCGUUUGAUUAGCUAGUUGGCGGUGUAAUGGACCACCAAGGCGAUGAUCAAUAGGGGAACUGAGAGGUUGAUCCCCCACACUGGCACUGAGAUACGGGCCAGACUCCUACGGGAGGCAGCAGUAGGGAAUAUUGGUCAAUGGAUGGAAGUCUGAACCAGCCAUGCCGCGUGCAGGAAGAAGGCCUUCUGGGUUGUAAACUGCUUUUGCCAGGGGAUAAGAAUUCUUUGCGAAGAAAAUUGAAGGUACCUGGUGAAUAAGCACCGGCUAACUACGUGCCAGCAGCCGCGGUAAUACGUAGGGUGCAAGCGUUGUCCGGAUUUAUUGGGUUUAAAGGGUGCGUAGGCGGCCUUGUAAGUCAGUGGUGAAAUACUCCAGCUUAACUGGAGGGGUGCCAUUGAUACUGCAGGGCUUGAGUUAAGUUGAAGUUGGCGGAAUUGACGGUGUAGCGGUGAAAUGCUUAGAUAUCGUCAAGAACACCGAUAGUGAAGACAGCUAACUAAACUUUUACUGACGCUGAGGCACGAAAGUGUGGGGAUCAAACAAGAUUAGAUACCCUGGUAGUCCACACUGU
This 746-nucleotide ribosomal RNA is filed under the name uncultured microorganism. Its description in RNAcentral is "bacterial SSU rRNA". It matches the Rfam family "Bacterial small subunit ribosomal RNA", at positions 61 to 803 of the family's 1533-position model. The record is from RNAcentral.